GUGCAGUAGCUGUCCACCCUAAGUGGAUAAGCUCAGAAGUAACUAACUCUCCAUAUUCCUGCAGGAGCAGAUAGGGCUAGAAUAUCACGCCCACAAUGGCAUGUCCAAUAGCCCAACAACCUCAGAACUGCAUGUUCCCACGAUUGUUUAACCAUAUUCUCUAUAAAUAACCAAAGUCCUGAGGACCUAGGUAAGUAAUCCAUCUCUCAGAGAACCACUUGCUGGUUUUGCUGUUCUUUGAUUCCUGACUUAAGCGAUGGAGGAUCCUCAUCGAAGUGAAGCCUCCGGCUCGAACUUUAUUUUACAGAUCACUCCAGCACCCCUGUGCAAGGCCC
This 335-nucleotide long non-coding RNA is filed under the name Elaeis guineensis (African oil palm). RNAcentral describes it as "long non-coding RNA (EGUI_LNC043885)". The record is from RNAcentral. Lineage: Eukaryota; Viridiplantae; Streptophyta; Magnoliopsida; Arecales; Arecaceae.